Molecule: small nucleolar RNA, 77 nt
Organism: Manis pentadactyla (Chinese pangolin)
Lineage: Eukaryota; Metazoa; Chordata; Mammalia; Pholidota; Manidae
Product: small nucleolar RNA SNORD81
Exons: 1
Source: RefSeq, a predicted model, not a curated record
CAGAAUACAUGAUGAUCUCACCCCAACUUGAACUCUCUCACUGAUUAUCUGACGAUUGUAUAAGAUCUGAUAUUCUG